RNAcentral lists this long non-coding RNA (806 nucleotides) under Malus domestica (apple). RNAcentral's name for it is "long non-coding RNA (MDOM_LNC016607)". Lineage: Eukaryota; Viridiplantae; Streptophyta; Magnoliopsida; Rosales; Rosaceae. The record is from RNAcentral.
UUUUUCAUACACUCCUAUUCUUUCAUGUGUGAUGAACUUAUGUGAGAUACAUCUCUAGAACUUGCGUAACGAUCUUUCGAAAUGUUUGUCAUUGAUUGCAUGAACUUGGAAAUGAUAGAGGCAUUAGGUUUACCACCAUGGCCCAAAUAACCAUGUUUCCCAAAUAAAAAUGAUAUCAUUAGAUUGCCAAUUUGAGCCGUGUAUGUUGAGCCUUUUAUUUCUUAUCACCAGAUAUGUCUACCCUUAUGCCUGAAACUUUUUUUCCUUACCCUUUCCAAGCAAGCUAGCGAGCAAUGCAAGAUUGUCUUAUGAGAAACGUUUGUGAAGUACUUUGAAGGUGUUUGGCAAAAGAAUAAGUGUGGGGGUAUUUCAUGUUUGUAAAAAAAAAAAAAAAAAAAAAAAAGAAAGAUUGUAUACAAAGAAAAUAAAAAGUUUUUAAAGUUUCAGUUUAAGGGUGUGGUUGGAGGUGCGAGAAGAAUCGCGGGAAAGCUUGAGUUCUUAUAAAUCUAAACAAAAGAAUUGCUUGCAAUGUAGCUUGGAACUUGUGUUUUCCUAUUCUUCCGUUUCAAUAACCCUAUCCCUAAGCCUCAUUACAUCCAAUAAAAGUCCUCUUAAUUUAAGUUUUGCAAUUAUGACUGUGGAGAAGUGAUCUUUAUGCAAGCUUAUGGUAGAAAUUUCACAUUUGAUUCUUUGAGCGAAACACAUUAAAACUAAACACAUGUGUGAUUGAGUGCAUAUCCCGUGAGAAGGUUACUAGUUUGCAUAUGAUGAUUUUAAAAAUAAAAACUUGAAAUUGCAUUAGCAUG